CAGUUGUCAAGCUCUAACCAACUGAGCUACAGAGUCCAGUUGUCGAGCUCUAACCAACUGAGCUACAGAGUCCAGUUGUCGAGCUCUAACCAACUCAGCUACAGAGUCAAGUUGUCAAGCUCUAACCAAACUGAGCUACAGAGUCCAGUUGUCAAGCUCUAACCAACUGAGCUACAGAGUCCAGUUGUCAAGCUCUAACCAACUGAGCUACAGAGUCCAGUUGUCGAGCUCUAACCGGAAAUUCAUGUGCCACUUGGGUGGUGCCAAUGUAAGGUGUAUGGGUGAAUAGGGCAGCAGGUUCGAUUCCUGUCAGGGAGUCUGGCUAUAUGUGGGUCUCGUUUUGGUAUUAUUGAGUUGAAGCGACGUUUUUCUCAACACGAACGUCACCUGAAAAUUGGUAGAACUAAUUUUGGCGCCAUUUUGCAUCAUAACUGAGCUACAGAGUCCAGUUGUCAAGCUCUAACCAACUGAGCUACAGAGUCCAGUUGUCGAGCUCUAACCGGAAAUUCAUGUGCCACUUGGGUGGUGCCAAUGUAAGGUGUAUGGGUGAAUAGGGCAGCAGGUUCGAUUCCUGUCAGGGAGUCUGGCUAUAUGUGGGUCUCGUUUUGGUAUUAUUGAGUUGAAGCGACGUUUUUCUCAACACGAACGUCACCUGAAAAUUGGUAGAACUAAUUUUGGCGCCAUUUUGCAUCAUAGCGCUCGUGUGAGAAAGCAGGAAAGUUUAAAAAUCUUUUGUCAUACAGUAUGUGUUGAAGAUUACCACAAACUGACACAAACACAGUUUUUAAUCCAGUCCCCUCUCGACAAUCUGACGUCCAUGUUGACAAAAACGUCGCUUGCUUAAGCUCGCUAUUAAUUAGAGGAAAAUAGGUUGAAAAUUGUAAAAAAAAUCAAGCUCUUUAUAACGUAUUCGGGUUUGGAUACUUCGACAUUUUUCUCCCAGUCUAAGAGUGUCUUGAAUUGGGCGUAUAGUUAGUUGUUAUGGCAUGUAAUUUUACAUAUAUAUUCACUAUUAUUAUACUAUAUAGCUAAUUCACAUUAUUAAUUAAAGAUAGCUUACAUGCAUGAGUAAGCAAAUAGUUUUAAAGAUGAAGUAGUCCCACUACUAACGUAGCGGACAUGACUCGGCGUGGCUUUGGACGAUUUGUGGUUUGCUGAAACUUGCUUGAAAUUAACGAACUAUAUUGCGUAUAGGGAAAACGAGUCGUAGUUUUGUACUUUCUUCCCCUAGCAGAGCGUAUAAAAGCCUGAGCACAACUAGACAAUUCAUGUAUUAUUCAUAAGGUGAAAACCUGAUGGUAGCAACGCAGUGAAGAAAGCCGCAAAUAAUAAAGAAAUUAUAAGUUAAAGAAAGAAUUAAAAGGAAUGUUCAAAGACAAAGACGAAGUUAUUAAAGAAUUGUCAUGAAUUGAAGAGUUGUACUCAGUCUUGCUCAGUCGUGAAAUGAGACAAGUUUCAACGAAUAUUAAGCAUUAUAUAUAGAUAUUAAGGAAAGUUGCAAACGCUAAUUAUUGAGCAAUAUAUAUAAGGGAAGCGUCACACAUCGAUUUUGUCCACGAGAAACGUCCUAUGGACGUCCCUCUGGAGACAACCCCCCCCCCCGCUUUAGAAACGUCACA
Non-coding RNA from Paramuricea clavata, 1619 nucleotides. The record is from the annotation of a GenBank genome assembly. Lineage: Eukaryota; Metazoa; Cnidaria; Anthozoa; Malacalcyonacea; Plexauridae.